This 493-nucleotide ribosomal RNA is filed under the name uncultured archaeon. Its description in RNAcentral is "bacterial SSU rRNA". It matches the Rfam family "Archaeal small subunit ribosomal RNA", at positions 857 to 1351 of the family's 1478-position model. The record is from RNAcentral.
UAAAGGAAUUGGCGGGGGAGCACAGCAACGGGUGGAGCGUGCGGUUUAAUUGGAUUCAACGCCGGAAACCUCACCGGGGGCGACGGUUAUAUGAAGGCCAGGCUGAUGACCUUGCCUGAUUUUCCGAGAGGUGGUGCAUGGCCGCCGUCAGUUCGUACCGUAAGGCGUUCUGUUAAGUCAGACAACGAACGAGACCCUCAUCCCUAAUUGCUACUUGUCUCUCCGGAGGCAAGGCACAUUAGGGAAACCGCUGGCGAUAAGCCAGAGGAAGGCGAGGGCAACGGUAGGUCAGUAUGCCCUGAAUCCCCCGGGCUACACGCGCGCUACAAAGGCCAGGACAAUGGGUUCCGACACCGAAAGGUGAAGGUAAUCCCGAAACCUGGUCAUAGUCCGGAUCGAGGGUUGAAACUCACCCUCGUGAAGCUGGAAUCCGUAGUAAUCGCGGGUCAACAUCCCGCGGUGAAUAUGCCCCUGCUCCUUGCACACACCGCCA